Molecule: ribosomal RNA, 198 nt
Filed under: uncultured bacterium
Lineage: Bacteria
Description: partial 16S ribosomal RNA
Rfam family: Bacterial small subunit ribosomal RNA
Source: RNAcentral
ACGCUCGACACCUACGGGGGGCAGCAGUGGGGAAUAUUGCACAAUGGGGGAAACCCUGAUGCAGCGACGCCGCGUGAGCGAAGAAGUAUUUCGGUAUGUAAAGCUCUAUCAGCAGGGAAGAAACUGACGGUACCUGACUAAGAAGCACCGGCUAAAUACGUGCCGGCAGCCGCGGUAAUCUGAGCGGGCUGGCAAGGC